GGGACGGUUUAAACCUUGCGAGUUCGAGCGGAAGGCCACUUCGGUGGUACUCGAGCGGCGAACGGGUGAGUAACACGUGAGUAAUCUGCCCCUGGCUUUGGGAUAGCCACCGGAAACGGUGAUUAAUACCGGAUAUGACCGCUUCUCGCAUGAGUGGUGGUGGAAAGUUUUUCGGCCAGGGAUGUGCUCGCGGCCUAUCAGCUUGAUGGUGAGGUAAUGGCUCACCAUGGCUUCGACGGGUAGCCGGCCUGAGAGGGUGACCGGUCACACUGGGACUGAGACACGGCCCAGACUCCUACGGGAGGCAGCAGUGGGGAAUAUUGGACAAUGGGCGGAAGCCUGAUCCAGCAAGAGGGGCGUGAGGGAUGACGGCCUUCGGGUUGUAAACCUCUUUCGCCUGUGACGAAGCGCAAGUGACGGUAACAGGUAAAGAAGCACCGGCCAACUACGUGCCAGCAGCCGCGGUAAUAAUCGGAUCCC
RNAcentral lists this ribosomal RNA (480 nucleotides) under uncultured Nocardioides sp. Its description in RNAcentral is "bacterial SSU rRNA". It matches the Rfam family "Bacterial small subunit ribosomal RNA", at positions 38 to 536 of the family's 1533-position model. The record is from RNAcentral. Lineage: Bacteria; Bacillati; Actinomycetota; Actinomycetes; Propionibacteriales; Nocardioidaceae.